This 253-nucleotide ribosomal RNA is filed under the name uncultured bacterium. Its description in RNAcentral is "partial 16S ribosomal RNA". It matches the Rfam family "Bacterial small subunit ribosomal RNA", at positions 524 to 776 of the family's 1533-position model. The record is from RNAcentral.
UACGAAGGGGGCUAGCGUUGCUCGGAAUCACUGGGCGUAAAGCGCACGUAGGCGGGUCUUUAAGUCGGGGGUGAAAUCCUGGAGCUCAACUCCAGAACUGCCUUCGAUACUGAGGAUCUCGAGUCCGGGAGAGGUGAGUGGAACUCCGAGUGUAGAGGUGAAAUUCGUAGAUAUUCAGAAGAACACCAGUGGCGAAGGCGGCUCACUGGCCCGGUACUGACGCUGAGGUGCGAAAGCGUGGGGAGCAAACAGG